RNAcentral lists this ribosomal RNA (396 nucleotides) under uncultured bacterium. RNAcentral describes it as "bacterial SSU rRNA". It matches the Rfam family "Bacterial small subunit ribosomal RNA", at positions 28 to 423 of the family's 1533-position model. The record is from RNAcentral.
GACGAACGCUGGCGGCGUGCUUAACACAUGCAAGUCGAGCGGUAAGGCCCUUUCGGGGGUACACGAGCGGCGAACGGGUGAGUAACACGUGGGUGACCUGCCCUCAGCUCUGGGAUAAGCCUGGGAAACCGGGUCUAAUACCGGAUAUGACUCCAUGACGCAUGUUGUGGGGUGGAAAGCCUUGUGCGGCUGAGGAUGGGCCCGCGGCCUAUCAGCUUGUUGGUGGGGUGAUGGGCCUACCAAGGCGACGACGGGUAGCCGGCCUGAGAGGGCGACCGGCCACACUGGGACUGAGACACGGCCCAGACUCCUACGGGAGGCAGGCAGUGGGGAAUCUUGCGCAAUGGGCGAAAGCCUGACGCAGCGACGCCGCGUGAGGGAUGACGGCCUCGGUGU